RNAcentral lists this ribosomal RNA (600 nucleotides) under uncultured bacterium. RNAcentral describes it as "bacterial SSU rRNA". It matches the Rfam family "Bacterial small subunit ribosomal RNA", at positions 9 to 604 of the family's 1533-position model. The record is from RNAcentral.
GGGUUCGAUUAUGGCUCAGAUUGAACGCUGGCGGCAUGCCUUACACAUGCAAGUCGAACGGCAGCACGGGAGCAAUCCUGGUGGCGAGUGGCGAACGGGUGAGUAAUGUAUCGGAACGUGCCCAGUCGUGGGGGAUAACGCAGCGAAAGCUGUGCUAAUACCGCAUACGAUCUAUGGAUGAAAGCGGGGGAUCGCAAGACCUCGCGCGAAUGGAGCGGCCGAUAUCAGAUUAGCUAGUUGGUGGGGUAAAGGCUCACCAAGGCGACGAUCUGUAGCUGGUCUGAGAGGACGACCAGCCACACUGGAACUGAGACACGGUCCAGACUCCUACGGGAGGCAGCAGUGGGGAAUUUUGGACAAUGGGCGCAAGCCUGAUCCAGCAAUGCCGCGUGCAGGAUGAAGGCCUUCGGGUUGUAAACUGCUUUUGUACGGAGCGAAAAGGCUUUCUCUAAUACAGGGGGCUCAUGACGGUACCGUAAGAAUAAGCACCGGCUAACUACGUGCCAGCAGCCGCGGUAAUACGUAGGGUGCGAGCGUUAAUCGGAAUUACUGGGCGUAAAGCGUGCGCAGGCGGUUAUGUAAGACAGAUGUGAAAUCCCC